UACGUAGGGGGCGAGCGUUAUCCGGAAUCACUGGGCGUAAAGGGUGCGUAGGCGGCCAAUAAAGUCAGGGGUGAAAGGCUACGGCUUAACCGUAGUAAGCCUUUGAAACUUAUUGGCUUGAGUGCAGGAGAGGAGAGUGGAAUUCCUAGUGUAGCGGUGAAAUGCGUAGAUAUUAGGAGGAACACCAGUGGCGAAGGCGACUCUCUGGACUGUAACUGACGCUGAGGCACGAAAGCGUGGGGAGCGAACAGGAUUAGAUACCCUGGUAGUCCACGCCGUAAACGAUGAGUGCUAGGUGUCGGAGUCGACAGACUUCGGUGCCGCAGCUAACGCAUUAAGCACUCCGCCUGGGGAGUACGGUCGCAAGACUGAA
RNAcentral lists this ribosomal RNA (373 nucleotides) under uncultured bacterium. Its description in RNAcentral is "bacterial SSU rRNA". It matches the Rfam family "Bacterial small subunit ribosomal RNA", at positions 524 to 898 of the family's 1533-position model. The record is from RNAcentral.